Molecule: unclassified non-coding RNA, 393 nt
Filed under: Hevea brasiliensis (rubber tree)
Lineage: Eukaryota; Viridiplantae; Streptophyta; Magnoliopsida; Malpighiales; Euphorbiaceae
Source: RNAcentral
GGAAGGGUUAGGAAGGGUCUGAAUUUUAGUGAGGCAGACGAGAAAGUAGUGCAGACCAAUGAGAGCAACAGUUUGCAAACUCGAGCACUUCAAGAUUCAGAGCGCAUGGUUGAAUCUGAGGAGAUUCUGAAGUUAAAGAAAGCACUUGCCCAAGUGGAAGCUGAGAAAGAAGCAGGCCUUAUCCAAUACCAACAGACAUUGGAGAAAUUAUCUCACCUGGAGUCAGAAGUGUCCCGUGCCAGAGAAGAUUCCCGAGGAUUUGGUGAACGAGCAAGCAAAGCUGAAGUUGAAGCCCAGACUUUAAGGGAUGCACUUUCUGCAUUGGGAGCUGAAAAAGAUGCUAAUAUUAAGUUGUAUCAGAAGUCCUUAGAAAUGAUUUCUGAGUUGGAGAAU